Molecule: long non-coding RNA, 1214 nt
Filed under: Cricetulus griseus (Chinese hamster)
Lineage: Eukaryota; Metazoa; Chordata; Mammalia; Rodentia; Cricetidae
Description: lncRNA (ENSCGRG00015037341.1)
Source: RNAcentral
CCUGCUCGCCGGCGCAUCGGCCCCUCUCACCCGGGAUGCACAGGCGCGAGUGGUGGGUGUGGGAGACCCGCAGGACCCCGGGCGGGGCAAUGUGGCAAUGGAAGGCCCUGGUAGUAGGGGGUUCGAAAGUCACCCUCUAUCCCUGUGAAGCUCCGGCUGGCACCGGCUCCCGAGUGAUAGCUCAGCCUCUGGAUCCCGCCUGUCCUUGGCGGCGGCUGCGGUCUCACAGUCGAGCGAGCGCAGCACUGACACCGGUGGCAAGCGUCCUGUCUUCUGGGGCUCACAUGACAACUCCACAGAGAAGACAGGAGGAGGAAGAUAGUGAUUUCCUGCUUGUCCCUGCUUAUAUUCUGAGUCUGCCUGCCGUGUCACUUCCUGCCUGGAUCACAAGACUUUUCUUUACUACAUUUCCCAGCAUCCUCGAUUCCUAGUCAUGCCUAACUUGCUUCCCUAUUGGCCAACAGUGCUUUAUUUCUCAACCAAUAAGACAUACAUAUACACAGAAGGUCUUCCCCCAUCAUCUCUUUUCUGUCUAAAUAAAAAAGAGGGUUUUAACAUUAACAUAGUAAAAUAUAUAGUUCAUUAACAUUUAGCAAGAUUUAAAGAAAAUAUUCUAUCAUCUAUCUUAUCUUUGUGAGUCUAAAGUCUUAUAUGUAGCUUAUCUUUUAUAAUAACUAAAGAAAACUAUAGCCAUAACUAUCUGUCUUCAACUCCAUCAAAGACCACAGAAGGACAAUAUAUAAACUCUAGAUCUGACAGAGACAUCUCACUACCUGGACAGUCAUCCAAAGCUCCUCUGUAAUGUUGAGACAUCCAUCUUCAGCCUAUAGGCCACAGUGUGUCUGGCAGAUUUCUCAGAGAAGCAGGAACCCUUCAGGACUAUUCAUCUUGUUUUGUAAGUUCAGCAGUCACUUUCUUGUGGGUCCUGCAUGUCCAGUUUAUCAGCAACAAACAGUUCAGGCAAGAAUAGUUUCUUGUCCAAAUGGCUAAUCUUGCCAUGUUGAAAGCAAACUCCAUAGAGUUUCUUCAAUGCCCAUCCUCCUUUCUGAUGUAAUUGGUGUGCCAGGAUCAGUUGUGUCUCACUGUUAUGAAAAUCCUAAACCAUUUAAAAUGUCAUAUAUUCUGUAGGUCUUUGAAAGGUUUGAAGAAUAUCUAUCCAUCUCAAAUACAUCUCUGUAUAUCUAGAAAACCUAACUAACCUAAUUAUAAGUCUU